GACGAACGCUGGCGGCGUGCUUAACACAUGCAAGUCGAACGGAAAGGCCCUGCUUUUGUGGGGUGCUCGAGUGGCGAACGGGUGAGUAACACGUGAGUAACCUGCCCUUGACUUUGGGAUAACUUCAGGAAACUGGGGCUAAUACCGGAUAGAAUCUCCUGCUGCAUGGUGGGGGUUGGAAAGUUUCGGCGGUUGGGGAUGGACUCGCGGCUUAUAAGCUUGUUGGUGAGGUAGUGGCUUACCAAGGCUUUGACGGGUAGCCGGCCUGUGAGGGUGACCGGCCACAUUGGGACUGAGAUAGGGACCAGACUCCAACGGGAGGCAGCAGUGGGGAAUAUUGCACAAUGGGCGGAAGCCUGAUGCAGCAACGCCGGGUGCGGGAUGACGGCCUUCGGGUUGUAAACCGCUUUCGCCUGUGACGAAGCGUGAGUGACGGUAAUGGGUAAAGAAGCACCGGCUAACUACGUG
This 468-nucleotide ribosomal RNA is filed under the name uncultured bacterium. RNAcentral's name for it is "partial 16S ribosomal RNA". It matches the Rfam family "Bacterial small subunit ribosomal RNA", at positions 28 to 507 of the family's 1533-position model. The record is from RNAcentral.